GACGGUACUGUAUGAAUAAGGAUCGGCUAACUCCGUGCCAGCAGCCGCGGUAAUACGGAGGAUCCGAGCGUUAUCCGGAAUUAUUGGGUUUAAAGGGUCCGUAGGCGGGAUAAUAAGUCAGUGGUGAAAGUUUGUGGCUCAACCAUAAAAUUGCCAUUGAUACUGUUAUUCUUGAGUAAUUGUGAAGUGGUUAGAAUGUGUAGUGUAGCGGUGAAAUGCAUAGAUAUUACACAGAAUACCAAUUGCGAAGGCAGAUCACUAACAAUUAACUGACGCUGAUGGACGAAAGCGUAGGUAGCGAACAGGAUUAGAUACCCUGGUAGUCUACGCAGUAAACGAUGGUUACUAGCUGUUUGGUCUAAUUGAGGGCUAAGUGGCUAAGCGAAAGUGAUAAGUAACCCACCUGGGGAGUACGUUCGCAAGAAUGAAACUCAAAGGAAUUGACGGGGGCCCGCACAAGCGGUGGAGCAUGUGGUUUAAUUCGAUGAUACGCGAGGAACCUUACCAGGGCUUAAAUGCAGUCUGACAGGGGUAGAAAUACCUUUUUCUUCGGACAGAUUGCAAGGUGCUGCAUGGUUGUCGUCAGCUCGUGCCGUGAGGUGUCAGGUUAAGUCCUAUAACGAGCGCAACCCCUAUGGUUAGUUGCUAGCAGGUCAUGCUGAGAACUCUAGCCAGACUGCCGGUGUAAACCGCGAGGAAGGUGGGGAUGACGUCAAAUCAUCACGGCCCUUACGUCCUGGGCUACACACGUGCUACAAUGGUAUGUACAAUGAGCAGCCACUACGCGAGUAGGCGCAAAUCUCAAAAGCAUAUCACAGUUCGGAUCGGAGUCUGCAACUCGACUCCG
This 847-nucleotide ribosomal RNA is filed under the name uncultured organism. Its description in RNAcentral is "bacterial SSU rRNA". It matches the Rfam family "Bacterial small subunit ribosomal RNA", at positions 471 to 1320 of the family's 1533-position model. The record is from RNAcentral.